RNAcentral lists this ribosomal RNA (495 nucleotides) under uncultured bacterium. RNAcentral's name for it is "partial 16S ribosomal RNA". It matches the Rfam family "Bacterial small subunit ribosomal RNA", at positions 28 to 507 of the family's 1533-position model. The record is from RNAcentral.
GAUGAACGCUGGCGGCGUGCCUAAUACAUGCAAGUAGAACGCUGAAGGAGGAGCUUGCUCUUCUGGAUGAGUUGCGAACGGGUGAGUAACGCGUAGGUAACCUGCCUGGUAGCGGGGGAUAACUAUUGGAAACGAUAGCUAAUACCGCAUGACAACAGUUAUUGCAUGAUAACUGUUUAAAAGGGGCAACUGCUCCACUACCAGAUGGACCUGCGUUGUAUUAGCUAGUUGGUGAGGUAACGGCUCACCAAGGCGACGAUACAUAGCCGACCUGAGAGGGUGAUCGGCCACACUGGGACUGAGAAACGGUCCAGAAUCCUACGGGAGGCAGCAGUAGGGAAUCUUCGGCAAUGGACGGAAGUCUGACCGAGGAACGCCGCGUGAGUGAAGAAGGUUUUCGGAUCGUAAAGCUCUGUUGUAAGAGAAGAACGAGUGUGAGAGUGGAAAGUUCACGCUGUGACGGUAUCUAACCAGAAAGGGACGGCUAACUACGUG